This 300-nucleotide ribosomal RNA is filed under the name Triticum aestivum (bread wheat). Its description in RNAcentral is "partial small subunit ribosomal RNA". The record is from RNAcentral. Lineage: Eukaryota; Viridiplantae; Streptophyta; Magnoliopsida; Poales; Poaceae.
AUGGGCAGACUACGGAAAGUCUCAGCCAAGGAUGUUCCGCAAGUUUCUUCAGUUGAGAGUCCUGAUUCUUCAAAAGAUCCUUUCAUGCCUAAUGAUUUCGCUGAUGAGAAUGUUAUGUCUUUGGUAGUUAUCUUUGUCUUCUUUGCAUUUUCAUUAUGUUUUUUCUAUUUUCAUUUUCAUAAGUGUUGUGCUUAUUGUCUGAAUUUUUCCUUUUUUCAGGAUUUCUCUGCUGAUGAUGCAGAGUUUGAUAAAGCACUUUACAAUUUCUAUGUGAAUAGUGUAAGUAAUUUUCUGAUCUAA